GAUGAACGCUGGCGGCGUGCCUAAUACAUGCAAGUCGAGCGAACAGACGAGGAGCUUGCUCCUCUGACGUUAGCGGCGGACGGGUGAGUAACACGUGGAUAACCUACCUAUAAGACUGGGAUAACUUCGGGAAACCGGAGCUAAUACCGGAUAACAUGCUGAACCGCAUGGUUCAACAGUGAAAGACGGUCUUGCUGUCACUUAUAGAUGGAUCCGCGCCGCAUUAGCUAGUUGGUAAGGUAACGGCUUACCAAGGCAACGAUGCGUAGCCGACCUGAGAGGGUGAUCGGCCACACUGGAACUGAGACACGGUCCAGACUCCUACGGGAGGCAGCAGUAGGGAAUCUUCCGCAAUGGGCGAAAGCCUGACGGAGCAACGCCGCGUGAGUGAAGAAGGUCUUCGGAUCGUAAAGCUCUGUUAUUAGGGAAGAACAAAUGUGUAAGUAACUAUGCACGUCCUGACGGUACCUAAUCAGAAAGCCACGGCUAACUACGUG
This 497-nucleotide ribosomal RNA is filed under the name uncultured bacterium. Its description in RNAcentral is "partial 16S ribosomal RNA". It matches the Rfam family "Bacterial small subunit ribosomal RNA", at positions 28 to 507 of the family's 1533-position model. The record is from RNAcentral.